RNAcentral lists this ribosomal RNA (531 nucleotides) under uncultured bacterium. Its description in RNAcentral is "bacterial SSU rRNA". It matches the Rfam family "Bacterial small subunit ribosomal RNA", at positions 8 to 526 of the family's 1533-position model. The record is from RNAcentral.
AGAGUUUGAUCCUGGCUCAGGACGAACGCUGGCGGCGCGCUUAACACAUGCAAGUCGAGCGAGAACCAGGGCUUCGGCCCCGGGGACAGCGGCGAACGGGUGAGUAACACGUGGGUAAUCUGCCCUCGGUACUGGGAUAGCCCGGGGAAACCCGGAUUAAUACCGGAUGGCCCUUCGAGUUUUCGAAUUCGAAGGAAAAGGUAGCUUCGGCCUCCGACCGAGGAUGAGCCCGCGGCGGAUUAGCUUGUUGGUGGGGUAACGGCCUACCAAGGCGACGAUCCGUAGCUGGUCUGAGAGGACGAUCAGCCACACUGGGACUGAGACACGGCCCAGACUCCUACGGGAGGCAGCAGUGGGGAAUCUUGCCCAAUGGGCGAAAGCCUGAGGCAGCGACGCCGCGUGCGGGAAGAAGGCCUUCGGGUUGUAAACCGCUUUCAGGAGGGACGAAGCCACUCGGGUUAAUAGCCCAGAGGGUGACGGUACCUCCAGAAGAAGCCCCGGCUAACUACGUGCCAGCCGCCGCGGUAAUAC